RNAcentral lists this small nuclear RNA (331 nucleotides) under Castor canadensis (American beaver). RNAcentral describes it as "7SK RNA (ENSCCNG00000018728.1)". It matches the Rfam family "7SK RNA". From Rfam's summary of the family: 7SK was discovered as an abundant small nuclear RNA in the mid-70s but a possible function has only recently been suggested. Two independent studies have found that 7SK RNA binds the CDK9/cyclin T complex (known as elongation factor P-TEFb). Lineage: Eukaryota; Metazoa; Chordata; Mammalia; Rodentia; Castoridae. The record is from Rfam by way of RNAcentral.
GGAUGUGAGGGCGAUCUGGCUGUGACAUCUGUCACCCCAUUGAUCGCCAGGGUUGAUUCGGCUGAUCUGGCUGGCUAGGCGGGUGUCCCCUUCCUCCCUCACCACUCCAUGUGCGUCCCUCCCGAAGCUGCGCGCUUGGUCGAAGAGGAUGACCAUCCCCGAUAGAAGAGGACCAUUCUUCGGUCAAGGGUAUACGAGUAGCUGUGCUCCCCUGCUAGAACCUCCAAACAAGCUUUCAAAAUUUAAGUUUAAAACAGGACCAUGGGGCUUCAAAAUGCAAAUCCUUACCUAAAUUAUCUGUUGGAUAAGACCCAUGACAUAGAGUUUAUUU